UGCCUCAGUAACGGCGAGUGAAGCGGCAAGAGCUCAAAUUUGAAAGCUGGCUCCUUCGGGGUCCGCAUUGUAAUUUGCAGAGGAUGCUUCGGGAGCGGCCCCCAUCUAAGUGCCCUGGAACGGGCCGUCAUAGAGGGUGAGAAUCCCGUCUGGGAUGGGGUGCCCGCGACCAUGUGAAGCUCCUUCGACGAGUCGAGUUGUUUGGGAAUGCAGCUCUAAAUGGGUGGUAAAUUUCAUCUAAAGCUAAAUAUUGGCCGGAGACCGAUAGCGCACAAGUAGAGUGAUCGAAAGAUGAAAAGCACUUUGAAAAGAGAGUUAAAAAGCACGUGAAAUUGUUGAAAGGGAAGCGCUUGCGACUAGACUCGCCCACGGGGUAACAGCCGCUAUUCGUAGCGGUGCACUUCCCCGUGGUCGGGCCAGCGUCGGUUUGGGCGGCCGGUCAAAGGCCCUCGGAAUGUAACGCCUCUCGGGGCGUCUUAUAGCCGGGGGUGCCAUGCGGCCAGCCCAGACCGAGGAUCGCGCUUCGGCACGGACGCUGGCUUAAUGG
Molecule: ribosomal RNA, 547 nt
Filed under: Penicillium rubidurum
Lineage: Eukaryota; Fungi; Ascomycota; Eurotiomycetes; Eurotiales; Aspergillaceae
Description: LSU rRNA
Rfam family: Eukaryotic large subunit ribosomal RNA
Source: RNAcentral